Molecule: ribosomal RNA, 466 nt
Filed under: uncultured bacterium
Lineage: Bacteria
Description: partial 16S ribosomal RNA
Rfam family: Bacterial small subunit ribosomal RNA
Source: RNAcentral
GAUGAACGCUGGCGGCGUGCUUAACACAUGCAAGUCGAACGAUGAUGCCCAGCUUGCUGGGUGGAUUAGUGGCGAACGGGUACGUAACACUUGAGUAACCUUCCCUUAACCCUUGGUUAAGCCUGGCAAACUGGGUCUACUACUGGUAACGAGUGUCCACUGCACGGCGGGUGUUGGCAGGAUUGAUCGGUUUUGGAUGGACACGCGGCCUGUCAGCUUGUUGCUGAGGUAAUGGCUCACCAAGGCGACGACGGGUAGCCGGCCUGGGAGGGUGACCGGCCACACUGGGACUGGGACACGGCCGAGAGUCCUACGGGAGGCAGAAGUGGGGAAUAUGGAAGAAUGGGCGAAAGACGGAUGCAGCGACGCCGCGGGAGGGGUGACGGCAUUCGGGUUGGAAACCGCUUUCAGUAGGGAAGGAGCGAAAGUGACGGUAGCUGGUGAAGAAGCACCGGCUAACUACGUG